AUGAAAACAUCCAUAUUUGUUCUCAUAUAUGUUGAUGAUAUUAUAGUCACAAGUUCAUCUGAUGAAGCAAUAUUCGGGCUGCUGAAGGAUUUGAGUGCUGAAUUUGCUCUCAAGGACUUGGGAGACUUGCAUUUCUUCCUAGGGAUUGAGGUAAAGAAACAAGGUGAUAGCCUCCAUCUCUCUCAAGAAAAGUAUGCUUCUGACCUGGUGAGAAGAGUUGGGUUGCAAGGUUGCAAACCUUCACCAACUCCGUUAUCUAGCACAGAAAAAUUGUCACUUGCAGAAGGAGAACUUUUGAGUCCUGAUGAUAGCACCAGGUACAGAAGCUUGGUAGGAGCACUUCAGUACCUGACCUUGACACGACCUGAUAUUUCCUUUGCUGUGAACAAAGUCUGUCAGUUUCUUCAUGCACCUACUAAAAAUCAUUGA
Molecule: ribosomal RNA, 429 nt
Filed under: Triticum aestivum (bread wheat)
Lineage: Eukaryota; Viridiplantae; Streptophyta; Magnoliopsida; Poales; Poaceae
Description: partial small subunit ribosomal RNA
Source: RNAcentral